GCAGUCGCCGCGGUAAUACGAAGGGUGCGAGCGUUAAUCGGAAUGACUGGGCGUAAAGGGCGCGUAGGCGGUUUGCCAAGUUAGAUGUGAAAUUCCCGGGCUUAACCUGGGGACUGCAUUUGAUACUGGCAGGCUUGAGUGUGGAAGAGGGUCGUGGAAUUCCCAGUGUAGAGGUGAAAUUCGUAGAUAUUGGGAAGAACACCGGUGGCGAAGGCGGCGACCUGGUCCAUAACUGACGCUGAGGCGCGAAAGCGUGGGGAGCAAACAGGAUUAGAUACCCCAGUAGUCCCUGUCUCUUAUAA
This 302-nucleotide ribosomal RNA is filed under the name uncultured bacterium. RNAcentral describes it as "partial 16S ribosomal RNA". It matches the Rfam family "Bacterial small subunit ribosomal RNA", at positions 508 to 809 of the family's 1533-position model. The record is from RNAcentral.